AGGGUUUGAUUCUGGCUCAGGACGAACGCUGGCGGCGUGCUUAACACAUGCAAGUCGAACGAUGAAGUUAUGACGGAGGCUUCGGCCGACAGAAUAAUGGAAUAGUGGCGGACGGGUGAGUAACGCGUGAGUAACCUGCCUUUCAGAGAGGAAUAACAUUUGGAAACGAAUGGUAAUACCACAUAACAUUACGUUCUCGCAUGGGGAUGUAAUCAAAGAUUUUAUCGCUGAGAGAUGGACUCGCGUCCGAUUAGCUAGAUGGUGAGGUAACGGCCCACCAUGGCGACGAUCGGUAGCCGGACUGAGAGGUUGAACGGCCACAUUGGGACUGAGACACGGCCCAG
This 344-nucleotide ribosomal RNA is filed under the name uncultured bacterium. RNAcentral's name for it is "bacterial SSU rRNA". It matches the Rfam family "Bacterial small subunit ribosomal RNA", at positions 8 to 334 of the family's 1533-position model. The record is from RNAcentral.